UACAGAGGUGGCAAGCGUUGUUCGGAAUUACUGGGCGUAAAGGGCGCGUAGGCGGUUCGUUAAGUCCUGUGUGAAAUCCCCCGGCUCAACUGGGGAACUGCACAGGAAACUAGCGGGCUUGAGUUCGGGAGAGGGAAGCGGAAUUCCGGGUGUAGCGGUGAAAUGCGUAGAUAUCUGGAGGAAUACCGGUGGCGAAGGCGGCAUCCUGGACCAAUACUGACGCUGAGGCGCGAAAGCUAGGGGAGCAAACGGG
RNAcentral lists this ribosomal RNA (253 nucleotides) under uncultured bacterium. RNAcentral's name for it is "partial 16S ribosomal RNA". It matches the Rfam family "Bacterial small subunit ribosomal RNA", at positions 524 to 776 of the family's 1533-position model. The record is from RNAcentral.